AUUUUGACUGUACAAAGGUAGCAUAAUCAAUAGUCUCUUAAUUGGUGACUUGUAUGAAAGAUUGGAUGAGAUAUAUACUGUCUCUAAUUAAUUUAUAGAAAUUAAUUUUUUAGUAAAAAAGCUAAAAUAAUUUUAAAAGACGAGAAGACCCUAUAGAGUUUAAUAAUUUAUUUAAUUAUUAUUAAUAUAUAAUUUUUAAAAUUAAAAUUAAAUAAAUUAUUUUGUUGGGGUGAUAAAAAAAUUAAAUUAACUUUUUUUAAUUAUUAACAUUAAUUUAUGAAUAAAUGAUCCAUUUAUAGUGAUUAAAAGAAAAAAUUACCUUAGGGAUAACAGCGUAAUUUUUUUUUUUAGUUCAAAUAGGAAAAAAAG
RNAcentral lists this ribosomal RNA (369 nucleotides) under Papilio fuscus pertinax. Its description in RNAcentral is "partial 16S ribosomal RNA". Lineage: Eukaryota; Metazoa; Arthropoda; Insecta; Lepidoptera; Papilionidae. The record is from RNAcentral.